CCCUUUCGGUUUUCCCCUGCUGUUUGCUUGGUUUCCAGACUCCCAUAAUGUUCUCUCCUGCUGGUUUCUCCACCUAUAAGUAACUCCUUUGUCUCCCCUCUCCCACCCCCCAUUCUCCAGCUAUCUUUAUGGGCAACAUCAAACUGCUGAUUUGGUUAGCACUGAGCUGGGGCCAGGGACUGGGGUUAACUUCUCAAAUGUGUUUAUGAUGCAAAGAUACAUUUUGUUCCUAAUUAGGCCUCUCACUAAGGGGAAAAGCAAAAGGAUAUAGAGGUUUGGGAUUUUUAAACAGUCAUCAUCCCCGAAAAAGGGCAUAAAUCAGUCAAAUAAGUCAUAUAAGCGUUCAAAGGAACCUGAAAUUCACAGCUGUUUCUCAUGAGUCAGGAGCUAACCUUGUCUUGCUUUCACCGAGGCUGGGCUGUCUACUGGGAAAGCAGUAGAAAUACCUGUUAGGCAGGAACCCCUGAAGUGGACAACACGAGAAACUCUUCUUAUGAAGGCACCCAUUUUCAAGUGUUCCAGGAUCCUGGAGAUCCUGGAAAUCACCCAUUUAUCUGUUUCUAUGAAUUCAAUAUUUUGGAGAUUCCACAUAUAGACCUGCUUUCCCUGCUCCUUCAUUCACACAGUGGACCGUGGCUACUCCCAACUCUUUAAUUGAAGAGAAUGUUCUUGCCCUACAUUAUGUCAGUUUCAUGAACUACUGCCAGGAGGCGAAAGUUACAUACACCUGGCUUCCCAGGGAAGAUCUCAAAGUUCCUAGAUGACAAAACUGAGGCCCAGAAGGAGAAAGUGAUUUGCAUGAUGUCACACAACCUAGUAAGCUAUAUGCCAAGACCAGCGUCAUCUUCUAGGCAUUUUAAUGAAACAAUUGUCCUUGCUGUUAUCAUCCUUCCUCCUUCAUCGAGCUUUCAUUUGGAAUUUUUCUAAAUACAUGCAGUUGAACUUUCUGAAUUUUUUUGAAUUUUAUGUUUUAUAACAAACGGUUGGGACAUAACUGCUUGAAUUUACAGUUUCUGAGUAAUGGGAUCUGACUUUCAGUGGACUGCCACUGACAUACUGGAAUUUAGCAAUUAGGCAAAAGCAACUACCAUUGUAUUGCGCAAUUGUAACUUUAACCUACUUAUGAAUAAAUGAAUGUUUUAUCUUUUGGUGUCUUGUCAAACCCCCCCCCAAAAAAAACAGAAGCCUUAGUGAAUAUUAUCGUCUGCCUAUCCAGUUUGAGUAUUCUAUCUGUGUUCUGUUACUCUUAUAUUAUUUUUUUCAUCUGGCCUUUGUGCCUUGAUUUCUCAAUGGCUGGAGGAGUGCAGAAUCUAAUUCUAGAGCUACAAGCCUUUUCUAAAAGGGGAUCUGCUCUGGUCCUUGGAGUCCAGGGAGAUGAACUUACUCGGCUUAACAGAAAACUUCUAAACUUAUUCCAAGUAAAUUCAGCGGAUAUAGACCAGAUCAGGAUUUUUAUAUCCUUCUUUGGUGCAGAUAUUUGUCUUAGUUAUAAUCCCCCUUUAGGGGGCACUCAUUGCAUUGUGCAGCAAUUCUUCCUUUGCCUGUUUACCUCCUCUUGGAAGCAUUUGAGGACCUGUCAUCUAAGAGCACCCAGCAGGCAGUAGAGCCUUGAAAACUGCUCACUGUUCCAUACAUGGUGUGGGAGGUGACUUGAAUUCUAUCUUGUUAGAAAGCUUAUAGUGGAAGCUGAUAUCCUUUUGUUUUGCCCUUUCAGGGGGGCCCCAGCACAGGAACUAAUACAAAGUGACCAACCAGGAAAUGUGUGUUGCAUGAAUAGAUGAAUAAAAGAUGAUUUCACAUGUUCAUUCA
Molecule: long non-coding RNA, 1809 nt
Organism: Sus scrofa (pig)
Lineage: Eukaryota; Metazoa; Chordata; Mammalia; Artiodactyla; Suidae
Source: RefSeq, a predicted model, not a curated record